CACGUGUGCAUCUAAUAAACGUGCUUGUUUUUGCCACUGCCAGGCUCAGGUUGGUUUCAGGAGCGUCUGACGACAUUACAGGACUCUGAAACAAACAAAAGAUCGUUGGGUCUCCAGUAACCGUGCUGACCAGGAUGAAGAUGAAAUCCUACACCUAAGUGCUCACAUCUAAAGAAAAAUGCUGUUCCCUGAGUGGAGAGACCUGCUGCAGACAGAGUGCAGCUGACAAUCAGUGACUUCAUUCACCAACGGGCUCCACUGCCACUGACGCUAAUUCAACGUGUUGAAUCACCACAAAAAGCCAACAGGGGCCUACGAGGG
Long non-coding RNA from Epinephelus fuscoguttatus (brown-marbled grouper), 321 nucleotides. RefSeq lists it as uncharacterized. The record is from RefSeq and is a predicted model, not a curated record. The transcript has 3 exons. NCBI's taxonomy places the organism in Eukaryota, Metazoa, Chordata, Actinopteri, Perciformes, Serranidae.